AUAAGACAUGCAAGUCGAACGGGACUUUCAGUGUAGCAAUACAUUGAAAGUUCAGUGGCGUAAGGGUGCGUAACACGUGGGAAAUCUGCCGAGAAGUGGGGGAUAGCUCGCCGAAAGGCGAAUUAAUACCGCAUGUGGUCAGGUGAGGACAUCCUCGCGAAACCAAAGCCGGGGCAACCUGGCGCUUCUUGAUGAUCCCGCGGCCUAUCAGCUAGUUGGCGGGGUAAAAGCCCACCAAGGCUAUGGCGGGU
Molecule: ribosomal RNA, 251 nt
Filed under: uncultured bacterium
Lineage: Bacteria
Description: partial 16S ribosomal RNA
Rfam family: Bacterial small subunit ribosomal RNA
Source: RNAcentral